AGAGGAGGGUGCUCGGCCGGGGAUUA
Molecule: microRNA, 26 nt
Filed under: Mus musculus (house mouse)
Lineage: Eukaryota; Metazoa; Chordata; Mammalia; Rodentia; Muridae
Description: mmu-miR-7081-5p
Source: miRBase by way of RNAcentral